CCUCAAGGGGUCUACCAAUCCCCAUUCUGGAAAUGCAAAGUCUGGAUUUUUUCUAUGCCUAAAGGCUGAAGGUUGCUCCCCAACUCCCCCGACCCAGAGGCGAAAUCAGGGAGGGGUGGAGCCCUGGACAGCAGCCAGUGCCAUCAUCAUGGCCUGCAGGGACAGUUCUUCAGAGGGGGUCCUUGGUCCAAGCCAAAGAGGCCAGCCCUUGGAUGGGCCGUCAGGGGAGACCAGCUGCAAACUGGGAAUUGAUGUGUUUGUGAGCAGAUAAGAAUGAGAGAGGGGAUGUCAAAGCUGAAGAGAGGCAGGAGCAGGUGGGAGGCCUGGAUGGAGCCAGGAGUCAGCAUGGGACAAGGUCCCACAUGGUCAAGAAACCCUUCUGGUCAAGCCCUCCUACGCCACCAUGCUGACAUGGAAUGUGUGUUUUAGUCAUGUUUUCUGGACUAUAAUAUAGCCAAUACUAUCGAGACAGUAUUCAAAGGGGGGAAAUUGAGUAAGCAAAACUGGAGGCCAUGGGGUCCAGAGUGAGGGCAUAGGAUGAUGGUUCUCAUUAGAACAUUAAAAUCACCUGGGGAGCUUUUGAAGUCCACGGAAGCCAGACCUGACCCCUAUAGAUUCUUAGUUAAUUGGUCAGAAGUGGGGCCCAAGCAUCAGUGGGUUUUUAAAGCUCUCCAGGUGAUUCUAAUGUACUUGAGCCUGGAUCAGGCAAAAACAAACAGGAAGCAGGGAGAAUAUGCUUAUCCACUCAGCUUCUCGUCUCCCAGCCGAGUGCCUGCUCGUCCAGCUCACUCCGGGUGCCACGACCUUGUCGCAGCCUAUUCGCAGUCCAGAGAAACUGAAGGAAACUGAUUGCAUUAGCUCAGUCCAGCACCUUACAAUUUUUGCAACUGGUCAAAAGAAAGAGGGCUACCAUGCAGGAAUAAUUGGACCAUGCCUGGACAAGCACAAUGAGUUGGACGCAAGCCUUCAAUUCUAAUCUGGCAGCACACUUGUUGAUAAAUUGCAAAACGUCUCCUGGUUUCCAUGGAAAAAAAGGAAGGAUGAUGCUCAGCUGUGGAUAAUAUCAACAACAAUGGGAUGAACAAUUUUGAUGAAUGCAAACUGAAAGAAAAUGCAGCAUAUGAAAUUCACAUUUUGGUAUAUUUUUAUUUGCUGAGUCUUUUCAGCUUUAAUAAACACAUGUCAAGAUAUACCUACUAAAUAUUCUGUCUUCUAUUGUGCAUUUUAGAAUGUCAAUUUUAAACUUAAAGUGCCCCCAAAUAUUUGGAAGAACAGGGUGAGGUGCAAGAACUUUUUUUU
Molecule: long non-coding RNA, 1299 nt
Organism: Felis catus (domestic cat)
Lineage: Eukaryota; Metazoa; Chordata; Mammalia; Carnivora; Felidae
Exons: 4
Source: RefSeq, a predicted model, not a curated record